AGAGUUUGAUCAUGGCUCAGAUUGAACGCUGGCGGCAGGCCUAACACAUGCAAGUCGAACGGUAACAGGAAGAAGCUUGCUUCUUUGCUGACGAGUGGCGGACGGGUGAGUAAUGUCUGGGAAACUGCCUGAUGGAGGGGGAUAACUACUGGAAACGGUAGCUAAUACCGCAUAACGUCGCAAGACCAAAGAGGGGGACCUUCGGGCCUCUUGCCAUCGGAUGUGCCCAGAUGGGAUUAGCUAGUAGGUGGGGUAACGGCUCACCUAGGCGACGAUCCCUAGCUGGUCUGAGAGGAUGACCAGCCACACUGGAACUGAGACACGGUCCAGACUCCUACGGGAGGCAGCAGUGGGGAAUAUUGCACAAUGGGCGCAAGCCUGAUGCAGCCAUGCCGCGUGUAUGAAGAAGGCCUUCGGGUUGUAAAGUACUUUCAGCGGGGAGGAAGGGAGUAAAGUUAAUACCUUUGCUCAUUGACGUUACCCGCAGAAGAAGCACCGGCUAACUCCGUGCCAGCAGCCGCGGUAAUACGGAGGGUGCAAGCGUUAAUCGGAAUUACUGGGCGUAAAGCGCACGCAGGCGGUUUGUUAAGUCAGAUGUGAAAUCCCCGGGCUCAACCUGGGAACUGCAUCUGAUACUGGCAAGCUUGAGUCUCGUAGAGGGGGGUAGAAUUCCAGGUGUAGCGGUGAAGUGCGUAGAGAUCUGGAGGAAUACCGGUGGCGAAGGCGGCCCCCUGGACGAAGACUGACGCUCAGGUGCGAAAGCGUGGGGAGCAAACAGGAUUAGAUACCCUGGUAGUCCACGCCGUAAACGAUGUCGACUUGGAGGUUGUGCCCUUGAGGCGUGGCUUCCGGAGCUAACGCGUUAAGUCGACCGCCUGGGGAGUACGGCCGCAAGGUUAAAACUCAAAUGAAUUGACGGGGGCCCGCACAAGCGGUGGAGCAUGUGGUUUAAUUCGAUGCAACGCGGAGAACCUUACCUGGUCUUGACAUCCACGGAAGUUUUCAGAGAUGAGAAUGUGCCUUCGGGAACCGUGAGACAGGUGCUGCAUGGCUGUCGUCAGCUCGUGUUGUGAAAUGUUGGGUUAAGUCCCGCAACGAGCGCAACCCUUAUCCUUUGUUGCCAGCGGUCCGGCCGGGAACUCAAAGGAGACUGCCAGUGAUAAACUGGAGGAAGGUGGGGAUGACGUCAAGUCAUCAUGCCCCUUACGACCAGGGCUACACACGUGCUACAAUGGCGCAUACAAAGAGAAGCGACCUCGCGAGAGCAAGCGGACCUCAUAAAGUGCGUCGUAGUCCGGAUUGGAGUCUGCAACUCGACUCCAUGAAGUCGGAAUCGCUAGUAAUCGUGGAUCAGAAUGCCACGGUGAAUACGUUCCCGGGCCUUGUACACACCGCCCGUCACACCAUGGGAGUGGGUUGCAAAAGAAGUAGGUAGCUUAACCUUCGGGAGGGCGCUUACCACUUUGUGAUUCAUGACUGGGGUGAAGUCGUAACAAGGUA
RNAcentral lists this ribosomal RNA (1500 nucleotides) under metagenome. RNAcentral describes it as "bacterial SSU rRNA". It matches the Rfam family "Bacterial small subunit ribosomal RNA". The record is from RNAcentral.